Molecule: long non-coding RNA, 635 nt
Organism: Oncorhynchus kisutch (coho salmon)
Lineage: Eukaryota; Metazoa; Chordata; Actinopteri; Salmoniformes; Salmonidae
Exons: 3
Source: RefSeq, a predicted model, not a curated record
AAAUGCCAUUUGUCUGUAGAUCGCUCUGUUUCAACCUCUCCUACUAUGUCUCUAUCGCUCUUUAAGUAUUGAGCUGUCUUUUGUUUGAGAACCUCCAUAUCACUUUGUCCUAACCUAGUGCUCUCUUCUUCAUGCGAUUCUGAAGUGAUUUUCUCAUCUCAUUCUGCGCAGAUCGAGAUUAUGUCCCGAUGACCACCCACGUCACCAUCAGAUCUAUUACUGUGAAACAUUAAAACACCUUCCGGAGCCGCCCCCGACGGUAGAUGCCCCUCCCCCAAAGGUGCGGACUCCGACCGCAAAACCUGACUCAAUAGGGGAGGGUCCGGGUGGGCAUCUACCGUCGGGGGUGGCUUCGGUGUGGGGCGAAGUACCCACUCUGCUCGCAGAUACGUCUUCCUCCAUGCGGCUCUGGUGCAGGGAUCAUCGUCGGAAGCUACGGACCGUGGAUCGUCGCCGGAGGAACCGGACUGUAGAUCGUCGCAGGAAGAUCUGGAAUGAGAACCCCUGCUGAAGGCUCUGGACCGCCGACCGCCAGCUGGAGGCUCUGGACUGCCGACCGCCAGCUGGAGGCUCUGGACCGCCAGCUGGAGGCUCCGGACAGCCAGCUGGAGGCUCCGGACCGUCAGCUGGAGGCU